UAGCUUACUAGCUGAGCCCCAACUCUCAAAACUGCACACUGGCUUGUUAGGUGGAGGAAUUGUAGUUCCUCACUGAAGGAAGACAGGACAGGAAUUCAAACAGGGCAGAUGCUAAUGCAGAGGCCAUAGAGGGGUGUUGCUUACUGGCUUGCUUCCCUUGGUUUGAUUAGCCUUAUUGAUGUCUUAUGGAACUUGGCCACCAGCCUAGAAAUGGCACCACCUACAAUGAGCGGGUUCCUCCCUCAUCCAUCACUAAUUAAGAAAAUAUCUUGCAUCUUAUGAAGGCAUUUUCUUUUCAGUUGAGGUUCCCUCCUUUGAAAUUACUUUUAACAUGUGUCAACUUGACAUUAGACUAGCCAGCACAAUUGACCCCUUGCCAACUUGACAUACACACCUCACUAUUAAGCCACAGUCCUUUCUUUUUUAUCCCCAAGAUCUCACAUUAAACUCUAAAAGUCCCAUAGUCUUUACAACUUAAAAUGAUUUAACAUUUCGGCCUCUUUAAACUUGCCAGAGUCUUUUAGUUGUGGGCUCCUGUAAAAUCAAAAAUAAAUACCAACAUGACCCAGGGACACCCAAGAACUUUCCCAAGCCAGAAUUCCAGAUACAGAGAGAAGACAGUGCCCUCCCCUCAGGCUGCCCUUACUGCCAGUGACCCUGGAGUGUUACAGUGUACAGAUGGUCUGGACUGGGAUAGACAGGAAAAGUGCAAAAUAUAUAGUGGGUUUCAAAGAUCCAAGAUGAGAAACAAACUGUAAAAAUCGUUUUAUUUCCUAAAAAGAAAAAAAGAAAAAAAUGUAUAGUGUUCUGGGCGUGGUGGCACCCACCUUUAAUCACAGCACUUGCAAAACAGGCAGGUGGAUCUCUUGAGUUCAAGGCCAGCUUGGUCUACAUAGUGAAUUCCAGUACAGCCAGAGCUAUAUAGGGAGACCCUCUCUCAACAAAACAAAACAAAACACCAGCUGUACAACUAAACACAGCUACUACAUGGAGACUGAAGCAAAUGGACUGUGAACCUACUGGACGAUGCUGCCUUCAAAUAUAAAUAUAAAUAUGUAUUAUACUUGGAUCUAUUGAGGCAAAUAAGAAAUGGUACUAAAGC
Molecule: long non-coding RNA, 1102 nt
Filed under: Mus musculus (house mouse)
Lineage: Eukaryota; Metazoa; Chordata; Mammalia; Rodentia; Muridae
Description: long non-coding RNA chr1:175912387-175913489
Source: RNAcentral